RNAcentral lists this ribosomal RNA (531 nucleotides) under Acinetobacter sp. enrichment culture. Its description in RNAcentral is "bacterial SSU rRNA". It matches the Rfam family "Bacterial small subunit ribosomal RNA", at positions 355 to 877 of the family's 1533-position model. Lineage: Bacteria; Pseudomonadati; Pseudomonadota; Gammaproteobacteria; Moraxellales; Moraxellaceae. The record is from RNAcentral.
UGGGGAAUAUUGGACAAUGGGGGGAACCCUGAUCCAGCCAUGCCGCGUGUGUGAAGAAGGCCUUAUGGUUGUAAAGCACUUUAAGCGAGGAGGAGGGUACUGGUAUUAAUACUACCAGCUACUGGACGUUACUCGCAGAAUAAGCACCGGCUAACUCUGUGCCAGCAGCCGCGGUAAUACAGAGGGUGCGAGCGUUAAUCGGAUUUACUGGGCGUAAAGCGUGCGUAGGCGGCUAAUUGAGUCGGAUGUGAAAUCCCCGAGCUUAACUUGGGAAUUGCAUUCGAUACUGGUUAGCUAGAGUGUGGGAGAGGAUGGUAGAAUUCCAGGUGUAGCGGUGAAAUGCGUAGAGAUCUGGAGGAAUACCGAUGGCGAAGGCAGCCAUCUGGCCUAACACUGACGCUGAGGUACGAAAGCAUGGGGAGCAAACAGGAUUAGAUACCCUGGUAGUCCAUGCCGUAAACGAUGUCUACUAGCCGUUGGUCUCUUUGAGGGAUUAGUGGCGCAGCUAACGCGAUAAGUAGACCGCCUGGG